RNAcentral lists this ribosomal RNA (230 nucleotides) under uncultured bacterium. RNAcentral's name for it is "partial 16S ribosomal RNA". It matches the Rfam family "Bacterial small subunit ribosomal RNA", at positions 562 to 791 of the family's 1533-position model. The record is from RNAcentral.
AAAGCGUGCGCAGGCGGUUUUGUAAGACUGUCGUGAAAUCCCCGGGCUCAACCUGGGAAUGGUGAUGGUGACUGCAAGGCUAGAGUUUGGCAGAGGGGGGUAGAAUUCCACGUGUAGCAGUGAAAUGCGUAGAUAUGUGGAGGAACACCGAUGGCGAAGGCAGCCCCCUGGGUCAAAACUGACGCUCAUGCACGAAAGCGUGGGGAGCAAACAGGAUUAGAUACCCGUGU